GUGGGGAAUCUUAGACAAUGGGCGCAAGCCUGAUCUAGCCAUGCCGCGUGAGCGAUGAAGGCCUUAGGGUUGUAAAGCUCUUUCAGGGGGGAAGAUAAUGACGGUACCCCCAGAAGAAGCCCCGGCUAACUCCGUGCCAGCAGCCGCGGUAAUACGAAGGGGGCUAGCGUUGCUCGGAAUCACUGGGCGUAAAGCGCACGUCGGCGGCUUUCUAAGUCAGGGGUGAAAUCCUGGAGCUCAACUCCAGAACUGCCUUUGAUACUGGAGAGCUUGAGUUCGGGAGAGGUGAGUGGAACUGCGAGUGUAGAGGUGAAAUUCGUAGAUAUUCGCAAGAACACCAGUGGCGAAGGCGGCUCACUGGCCCGAUACUGACGCUGAGGUGCGAAAGCGUGGGGAGCAAACAGGAUUAGAUACCCGAGUAGUCC
RNAcentral lists this ribosomal RNA (425 nucleotides) under uncultured bacterium. RNAcentral describes it as "partial 16S ribosomal RNA". It matches the Rfam family "Bacterial small subunit ribosomal RNA", at positions 354 to 796 of the family's 1533-position model. The record is from RNAcentral.